GGCGGACAACUAGAGUCGCCGGAAAACGAGAGCUCAAGAAGGAGACUGAGGGUAGCAGUAGUCCGGCAGUGGGAUUGAAGGGUCCUGAUCUUCAGCAGCCGACAUUUCCUUAUUUCAGCAUUUACUCUUUGAUUUUUCAGCAGCAAGAACGGUUGUGGAACUUGAGGUCUUUGACGCGAGACGAGUAUCUCGAUUAUCGGAUUGGACCAUUUCU
Molecule: long non-coding RNA, 214 nt
Organism: Zingiber officinale
Lineage: Eukaryota; Viridiplantae; Streptophyta; Magnoliopsida; Zingiberales; Zingiberaceae
Exons: 3
Source: RefSeq, a predicted model, not a curated record